GGAGAGGUGUCCGAGAGGCCGAAGGAGCACGACUGGAAAUCGUGUAGACGUUAAUAGCGUCUCGAGGGUUCAAAUCCCUCCCUCUCCGCCA
RNAcentral lists this transfer RNA (91 nucleotides) under Nitrospiraceae bacterium. RNAcentral's name for it is "tRNA-Ser". It matches the Rfam family "tRNA". From Rfam's summary of the family: Transfer RNA (tRNA) molecules are approximately 80 nucleotides in length. Their secondary structure includes four short double-helical elements and three loops (D, anti-codon, and T loops). RNAcentral also lists the same sequence under 1 other name. Lineage: Bacteria; Pseudomonadati; Nitrospirota; Nitrospiria; Nitrospirales; Nitrospiraceae. The record is from RNAcentral.